RNAcentral lists this long non-coding RNA (537 nucleotides) under Homo sapiens (human). Its description in RNAcentral is "HSALNT0061809". Lineage: Eukaryota; Metazoa; Chordata; Mammalia; Primates; Hominidae. The record is from RNAcentral.
GAUUGGGUGCACAGUAUGGAGUUGGAGCUUUCCAAGGGCACUGGGGAGACUGAGGAGUGGACACCUUGUCAGGGUCUAGAUGAAAGGUAUGGUGAAGCAUUGGAAAGGGCUUUUUCACCUAUGCAUGCUGAGAGAAGUUCGGAACCUGAAGAUGCAGACCAGGCUCUGACCAAGCCUGCAGAGCUCAGAUCACAUGCUACACAGAAGCCAAAAUAAGCAACCAGAAGAAAAAGAGAAGAAGAAAAACAAGGAGGAACAAAAAUAAAUAAUGAAGAAGCAGCCAUUGCUCAGCUAUUUUUCUAUUGGCUUUAAAUGAAAAGAGAACUGCUUUGACGUGACCAUUACAAGGUACCAACAACAUCCGGCAGCAAUUAUCUUGUAUUACAGUCCUAACAUACCUGGAUAGACUAGCCAAUCUUUAUGCCAUUUUAGUGUUUCGUUUUUAAUAAAAAUGUCCAUAAAUGUGUAUGCAUUUGCAUGUCUUAUAUAGAUAGGAAACAGAAUAUUUGAUUACUUUAUCAAGAGCUUGUUCAGAAG